GCUGGCGGCGUGCUUACACAUGCAAGUCGAACGGAAAGGCCCUGCUUUUGUGGGGNGCUCUAGUGGCGAACGGGUGAGUAACACGUGAGUAACCUGCCCUUGACUUUGGGAUAACUUCAGGAAACUGGGGCUAAUACCGGAUAGGAGCUCCUGCUGCAUGGUGGGGGUUGGAAAGUUUCGGCGGUUGGGGAUGGACUCGCGGCUUAUCAGCUUGUUGGUGGGGUAGUGGCUUACCAAGGCUUUGACGGGUAGCCGGCCUGAGAGGGUGACCGGCCACAUUGGGACUGAGAUACGGCCCAGACUCCUACGGGAGGCAGCAGUGGGGAAUAUUGCACAAUGGGCGGGAGCCUGAUGCAGCAACGCCGCGUGCGGGAUGACGGCCUUCGGGUUGUAAACCGCUUUCGCCUGUGACGAAGCGUGAGUGACGGUAAUGGGUAAAGAAGCACCGGCUAACUACGUGCCAGCAGCCGCGGUGAUACGUAGGGUGCGAGCGUUGUCCGGAUUUAUUGGGCGUAAAGGGCUCGUAUGGUGGUUGAUCGCGUCGGAAGUGUAAUCUUGGGGGCUUAACCCUGAGCGUGCUUUCAUACGGGGUGGACUUGAGGGAGG
Molecule: ribosomal RNA, 606 nt
Filed under: uncultured Actinomycetales bacterium
Lineage: Bacteria; Bacillati; Actinomycetota; Actinomycetes; Actinomycetales
Description: bacterial SSU rRNA
Rfam family: Bacterial small subunit ribosomal RNA
Source: RNAcentral